Molecule: ribosomal RNA, 262 nt
Filed under: uncultured archaeon
Lineage: Archaea
Description: partial 16S ribosomal RNA
Rfam family: Archaeal small subunit ribosomal RNA
Source: RNAcentral
CACUGACAUUAGAUACCCGGGUAGUCCCAGCCGUAAACUAUGCGCGUUAGGUGUACUGGUGACCACGAGUCACCGGGGUGCCGAAGGGAAACCGUGAAACGUGCCGCCUGGGAAGUACGGUCGCAAGGCCGAAACUUAAAGGAAUUGGCGGGGGAGCACCGCAACGGGAGGAGCGUGCGGUUUAAUUGGAUUCAACACCGUAAGACUCACCAGGGAAGACUGUUACAUGAAGGCCGAGAUGAAGACUCUGCUAGAUUUUCAG